This 1948-nucleotide long non-coding RNA is filed under the name Pomacea canaliculata. RNAcentral's name for it is "uncharacterized LOC112565708". Lineage: Eukaryota; Metazoa; Mollusca; Gastropoda; Architaenioglossa; Ampullariidae. The record is from RNAcentral.
UCCUGCACUGUGGGCAGAAGUUUCGCGGGCCGGAUGGCACCGCGUCGCGGGCCGGACAUGGCCCGCGGGCCGUAGGUUGUGCAUCCCUGGUAUACAGUAACACAAGCUGGAUGAAAUUGUCUUGUAGGAUACCUUUGUGUGUGAGUACAAUUUUUUCUUAAUUAGUGCAUUUAUGUUUUGUAUAAUAAAAAUAUAAGUUGGGGGGUUUGUGUGGGGAGAGGGUGGUUGCUGCGCGCGCAUGCAUAUGAAUGUGGAUGUGUGUUAAACGAGGCUUAUAUUAUGACAAUGACAAUAUUGGCCAGACAUCAUAAACAAGUUCCUGUUGGAUCCAACCUCCUGUCCGUCAAAGAGAUCAUUGCAGUCUUCAAACAUUGCCGUGACAGGUAUCAAUAUCAACCGUCAUCCAGGUGACGAAAACAGCUCCAUGAACCUAAUUUUUCAUACUCUUGGCUGAAGGGCCAUGGCUGGCCGGUUUUGUGGCUGCUCGUUUCUUUUCAAAUGUCUUCUCUAAGCCAUCAGUACCUCGUGAUAUUUCCAGGCCUAUAAUCACAGUUCACCCAAAGGUCGGGACUGAUUAAAUACCUCUUUUUAUAUCUUUUAAAAAAAUCCUUGUCGUCCAUAACCACCCACUCCACUUCUUAAGACACUGGCACAGAAAGAUUAAGAAACAUGUCAAGAGACUUAUUGCAAUUUCUCUCGAGAUAUAACCUAAUCGAUGCGAACUUUCGACCUAGCAGCUCGUGAUAGCCCUGCCCUCGACCUGACGGCUCUGAUGAUUAGUGCCCUUGACUGUGGAAAAAGAGGUGGCGAGUUCGAGGCCCGGUUUGGGUCUGUGGCUGGCAUAGUCUCCUGCCCACACAGCAGCUUUAUCAGCAGACACUGGCGCCUGAUUUAUCUGAUAAUGGAAUGACAAUCGGAUGAUGAUUCACUCAACAGCAGCCCUCAUCACCACCAAGUAGGGAAAGAAGGGCAAUGCAGACUGUAAAGAACACUGCACUUUGAACUUCAGAGCAACACCUCUAUGCCAUGGAUGGAAUCCAGCAGAGCUGUUGAUGAGAAAGUAGCUCCACCAACACAGGAUGUUCCAGAAAAGGGAGAUCUGGAUCAGUUUCAGAAAACAAACACCCGAAGCAUCAGCAAAAGAAAUAUGACAGACAGCCAGGGAUGUGAAACCUUAGAUAAGAAAGUACUGUAGGUCAAGACCACACAAGAUGAAGCAAACGUAAACACAACAAGAUUAUACACAGUACAAGCGAAAGAUGAAAGAAGAAAUAAUUUUUGUUGCAGUAGCAUGAAGCCAAGUAGUCCAGGUGUAAUUCCCAGAGCAGAGGAAAAGCCAUGAAUGAGAUACAGGACGAUGAUGACACAGAUGCAUUUCACAUUAAAUGCAAAGGAAAUCAGAGGCACCUGUAGCUCACAGCCAGGCAUGGUCCACAACAGAUAUGGCCAAAAAAUUUAAGCUGCCAGAUUAAUGUACUGAAAACUGUUUUAAAAACAAAACAGAUUAUUAAAUUGUUGCAUGUUUUCAAACAUUGUUUUCCAAAGCUCAGUAAAGGGUAUAUAAAAUCACUUUGGACGAUUCCUCUAUGAUUAAAGCUUGUGUCUACAGUUUAAGAUCUGUAGCAUCUGCAGACACCAUGAACUAAACGGUCCCUCCAUUACCUUUCCCUGAACCCCCAAUCAGUGCACACACACACACAAAAAACACCCAUGGCACAACCAGAAACGUCCUUAACCUCUUGUUAGCACCAUAAACAUGCCACAUGCACUGACCAUAACAUUAAACAGCUUGGAAUGAAACAGGCUCAUAAGUACAAAAUCUUCUCCAUAAAAGAUAACUGUCGGGUACCUGCCACAAAAUCUGCAGACAAGCACAGGUCUGUGUUUGAAGUGUACUGCACAUACCAGUCCAUGACUACUUAAUGCCCCUUUUAUAGUUUGUUGCACU